RNAcentral lists this ribosomal RNA (907 nucleotides) under uncultured bacterium. Its description in RNAcentral is "bacterial SSU rRNA". It matches the Rfam family "Bacterial small subunit ribosomal RNA", at positions 8 to 916 of the family's 1533-position model. The record is from RNAcentral.
AGAGUUUGAUCCUGGCUCAGGAUGAACGCUAGCGGCAGGCUUAAUACAUGCAAGUUGAACGGGAUUCGAGUAGCAAUACUUGAUGAGAGUGGCGCACGGGUGCGUAACACGUAUGCAACCUACCUUUAACUGGCGAAUAGCCCCGGGAAAUCGGGAUUAAUACGCCAUAAGAUCACGAAAGGGCAUCCUUUAGUAAUUAAAGAACUUCGGUUAGAGAUGGGCAUGCGGGACAUUAGCUAGUUGGUGAGGUAACGGCUCACCAAGGCAACGAUGUCUAGGGGUCCUGAGAGGGUUAUCCCCCACACUGGUACUGAGACACGGACCAGACUCCUACGGGAGGCAGCAGUAAGGAAUAUUGGUCAAUGGGCGCAAGCCUGAACCAGCCAUGCCGCGUGCAGGAAGACGGCCCUAUGGGUUGUAAACUGCUUUUGUCGGGGAAUAAAUGAUGGUACGUGUACUGUCUUGAAGGUACCUGAAGAAUAAGCAUCGGCUAACUCCGUGCCAGCAGCCGCGGUAAUACGGAGGAUGCAAGCGUUAUCCGGAUUCAUUGGGUUUAAAGGGUGCGCAGGCGGAUUGGUAAGUCAGGGGUGAAAUCCCACAGCUCAACUGUGGAACUGCCUUUGAUACUGUCAGUCUAGAGUAUAGUUGAAGUUGGCGGAAUGUGUCAUGUAGCGGUGAAAUGCUUAGAUAUGACACAGAACACCGAUCGCGAAGGCAGCUAGCUAAGCUAUAACUGACGCUCAUGCACGAAAGCGUGGGGAUCAAACAGGAUUAGAUACCCUGGUAGUCCACGCUGUAAACGAUGAUUACUCGAUGUUGGCGAUACACAGUCAGCGUCUGAGCGAAAGCAAUAAGUAAUCCACCUGGGGAGUACGAUCGCAAGAUUGAAACUCAAAGGAAUUGACGG